This 426-nucleotide ribosomal RNA is filed under the name uncultured Actinomycetes bacterium. RNAcentral's name for it is "bacterial SSU rRNA". It matches the Rfam family "Bacterial small subunit ribosomal RNA", at positions 233 to 671 of the family's 1533-position model. The record is from RNAcentral. Lineage: Bacteria; Bacillati; Actinomycetota; Actinomycetes.
GCGGCCUAUCAGCUUGUUGGUGGGGUAGUGGCUUACCAAGGCUUUGACGGGUAGCCGGCCUGAGAGGGUGACCGGCCACAUUGGGACUGAGAUACGGCCCAGACUCCUACGGGAGGCAGCAGUGGGGAAUAUUGCACAAUGGGCGGAAGCCUGAUGCAGCAACGCCGCGUGCGGGAUGACGGCCUUCGGGUUGUAAACCGCUUUCGCCUGUGACGAAACGUGAGUGACGGUAAUGGGUAAAGAAGCACCGGCUAACUACGUGCCAGCAGCCGCGGUGAUACGUAGGGUGCGAGCGUUGUCCGGAUUUAUUGGGCGUAAAGGGCUCGUAGGUGGUUGAUCGCGUCGGAAGUGUAAUCUUGGGGCUUAACCCUGAGCGUGCUUUCGAUACGGGUUGACUUGAGGAAGGUAGGGGAGACUGGAAUUCCU